GACGAACGCUGGCGGCGUGCUUAACACAUGCAAGUCGAACGGAAAGGCCCUGCUUUUGUGGGGUGCUCGAGUGGCGAACGGGUGAGUAACACGUGAGUAACCUGCCCUUGACUUUGGGAUAACUUCAGGAAACUGGGGCUAAUACCGGAUAGGAGCUCCUGCUGCAUGGUGGGGGUUGGAAAGUUUCGGCGGUUGGGGAUGGACUCGCGGCUUAUCAGCUUGUUGGUGGGGUAGUGGCUUACCAAGGCUUUGACGGGUAGCCGGCCUGAGAGGGUGACCGGCCACCUUGGGCCUGAGAUACGGCGCAGACUCCUACGGGAGGCAGCAGGGGGGAGUAUUGCAGAAUGGGCGGAAGCCUGAUGCAGCAACGCCGCGUGCGGGAUGACGGCCUUCGGGUUGUAAACCGCUUUCGCCUGUGACGAAGCGUGAGUGACGGUAAUGGGUAAAGAAGCACCGGCUAACUACGUG
Molecule: ribosomal RNA, 468 nt
Filed under: uncultured bacterium
Lineage: Bacteria
Description: partial 16S ribosomal RNA
Rfam family: Bacterial small subunit ribosomal RNA
Source: RNAcentral